This 460-nucleotide ribosomal RNA is filed under the name uncultured bacterium. RNAcentral's name for it is "partial 16S ribosomal RNA". It matches the Rfam family "Bacterial small subunit ribosomal RNA", at positions 338 to 795 of the family's 1533-position model. The record is from RNAcentral.
CCUACGUGAGGCAGCAGUGAGGAAUAUUGGUCAAUGGGCGCGAGCCUGAACCAGCCAAGUAGCGUGAAGGAUGACUGCCCUACGGGUUGUAAACUUCUUUUAUAAAGGAAUAAAGUGAGGCACGUGUGCCUUUUUGUAUGUACUUCAUGAAUAAGGAUCGGCUAACUCCGUGCCAGCAGCCGCGGUAAUACGGAGGAUCCGAGCGUUAUCCGGAUUUAUUGGGUUUAAAGGGAGCGUAGAUGGGUUGUUAAGUCAGUUGUGAAAGUUUGCGGCUCAACCGUAAAAUUGCAAUUGAUACUGGCAGUCUUGAGUACAGUUGAGGUAGGCGGAAUUCGUGGUGUAGCGGUGAAAUGCUUAGAUAUCACGAAGAACUCCGAUUGCGAAGGCAGCUUACUAAACUGCCACUGACAUUGAUGCUCGAAAGUGUGGGUAUCAAACAGGAUUAGAUACCCUUGUAGUC